AACAACCCAGCUGUAAGAGCUGUCGUUUUCCAGAAAGAAAAAACUCUUGGAAAUAUCUCCUUUGAAAACCAGCCUCUGGAGAAGAUCAAACGUCGAGUGUAAAAAGGUUCUCUUCUCAUAAUUCUAUAGUCUAUCUGGCCUCCGUCAUCACCAUCCUCCGCCUCUGUAAUCUCCGACCCAUCAUUUCUCUGACCAGGGUAAGUAUUGUUCUCCAUUUUUAAUCCCAUUUUUGCCAGAAUAUGCGCAUGCUCAUUAACUGUUCGCCUUACAUGUCGAAAAUAAAAAUUAAAAAAAUUAAAGAAUAUAUAAAGAAAGUUAAAAUUUUAAAAAAUUAAAAUAAUAAUUUUGACACUUAAAUAAAUUAAUUAGUGAUUCAAGUUUAUUAUAUUAAAGUAUAUUAUUUUUUUAUUAUUUUAUUUUGAAAAUCAAAUUUAAAAAAAGAAUUCACUCAAUUCAAUUGAAGAUUCACCCUAAUAUUGAGGAUUUGUUUAUGCAGAGUCUGGAGCUGUUGGGAUUACAGAAAUCUAUCCAAACUCUAUAGUGUAUAUAUAAGAAUUUGUGUUUGGAUCACUUGCGAGUUUAGGAUCACAAAAAAAAGGUGGAUUUAGUUGGAGACGAACAUUUCAAUGCUUUAAUUAGUACAAUCUUGUCUUUAAUUUGCCUUCAACUUCACCGUAAUGAAAGAUUAAGAUUUAAGAGUUGAGAUUUGCGAAUAAAUAAAUAAAACGACAACGAGUAAACUUUUAUUUAAU
This 752-nucleotide long non-coding RNA is filed under the name Gossypium barbadense (sea-island cotton). Its description in RNAcentral is "long non-coding RNA (GBAR_LNC011897)". Lineage: Eukaryota; Viridiplantae; Streptophyta; Magnoliopsida; Malvales; Malvaceae. The record is from RNAcentral.